GACGAGCGCCGGCGGCGUGCUUAACACAUGCAAGUCGAACGGAAAGGCCCUGCUUUUGUGGGGUGCUCGAGUGGCGAACGGGUGAGUAACACGUGAGUAACCUGCCCUUGACUUUGGGAUAACUUCAGGAAACUGGGGCUAAUACCGGAUAGGAGCUCCUGCUGCAUGGUGGGGGUUGGAAAGUUUCGGCGGUUGGGGAUGGACUCGCGGCUUAUCAGCUUGUUGGUGGGGUAGUGGCUUACCAAGGCUUUGACGGGUAGCCGGCCUGAGAGGGUGACCGGCCACAUUGGGACUGAGAUACGGCCCAGACUCCUACGGGAGGCAGCAGUGGGGAAUAUUGCAGAAUGGGCGGAAGCCUGAUGCAGCAACGCCGCGUGCGGGAUGACGGCCUUCGGGUUGUAAACCGCUUUCGCCUGUGACGAAGCGUGAGUGACGGUAAUGGGUAAAGAAGCACCGGCUAACUACGUG
Molecule: ribosomal RNA, 468 nt
Filed under: uncultured bacterium
Lineage: Bacteria
Description: partial 16S ribosomal RNA
Rfam family: Bacterial small subunit ribosomal RNA
Source: RNAcentral